Mycena leptocephala is the source of this 90-nucleotide non-coding RNA. The record is from the annotation of a GenBank genome assembly. NCBI's taxonomy places the organism in Eukaryota, Fungi, Basidiomycota, Agaricomycetes, Agaricales, Mycenaceae.
UCGGACGUGGUGCACUGUGCACACCCGCUCGCACUGAAAGUGCUCGUGGUUAUGACGCGGGAAGCCUGGGUUCGAUUCCCAGCGUCCGAA